UUUAAUAUGAGAGUUUGAUCCUGGCUCAGGAUGAACGCUGGCGGCGCGCUUAAGACAUGCAAGUCGAACGGAACUUAGUUGAAUGUUUACAUGAUACGAAAGUUUAGUGGCGGACGGGUGAGUA
This 124-nucleotide ribosomal RNA is filed under the name Clostridiales bacterium. RNAcentral's name for it is "partial 16S ribosomal RNA". It matches the Rfam family "Bacterial small subunit ribosomal RNA", at positions 1 to 112 of the family's 1533-position model. The record is from RNAcentral. Lineage: Bacteria; Bacillati; Bacillota; Clostridia; Eubacteriales.